AGGACGAACGCUGGCGGCGUGCUUAACACAUGCAAGUCGAGCGGAAAGGCCCUUCGGGGUACUCGAGCGGCGAACGGGUGAGUAACACGUGAGUAAUCUGCCCCUAGCUCUGGGAUAGCUCCGGGAAACCGGGAUUAAUACCGGAUACGACCACCUUAGACAUCUUUUGUGGUGGAAAGAAUUUCGGCUAGGGAUGAGCUCGCGGCCUAUCAGCUUGUUGGUGGGGUAACGCCUACCAAGGCGACGACGGGUAGCCGGCCUGAGAGGGCGACCGGCCACACUGGGACUGAGACACGGCCCAGACUCCUACGGGAGGCAGCAGUGGGGAAUAUUGCGCAAUGGGCGAAAGCCUGACGCAGCGACGCCGCGUGGGGGAUGAAGGCCUUCGGGUUGUAAAGCUCUUUUACCCGGGAAGAUAAUGACUGUACCGGGAGAAUAAGCUCCGGCUAACUUCGCGCCAGCAGCCGC
This 468-nucleotide ribosomal RNA is filed under the name uncultured bacterium. Its description in RNAcentral is "SSU rRNA". It matches the Rfam family "Bacterial small subunit ribosomal RNA", at positions 26 to 518 of the family's 1533-position model. The record is from RNAcentral.